RNAcentral lists this ribosomal RNA (449 nucleotides) under uncultured bacterium. RNAcentral's name for it is "partial 16S ribosomal RNA". It matches the Rfam family "Bacterial small subunit ribosomal RNA", at positions 354 to 796 of the family's 1533-position model. The record is from RNAcentral.
GUGGGGAAUUUUGGACAAUGGGCGCAAGCCUGAUCCAGCAAUGCCGCGUGCAGGAAGAAGGCCUUCGGGUUGUAAACUGCUUUUGUACGGAACGAAACGGUCCGGGUUAAUACCCUGGGCUAAUGACGGUACCGUAAGAAUAAGCACCGGCUAACUACGUGCCAGCAGCCGCGGUAAUACGUAGGGUGCAAGCGUUAAUCGGAAUUACUGGGCGUAAAGCGUGCGCAGGCGGUUUUGUAAGACAGGCGUGAAAUCCCCGGGCUCAACCUGGGAAUUGCGCUUGUGACUGCAAGGCUGGAGUGCGGCAGAGGGGGAUGGAAUUCCGCGUGUAGCAGUGAAAUGCGUAGAUAUGCGGAGGAACACCGAUGGCGAAGGCAAUCCCCUGGGCCUGCACUGACGCUCAUGCACGAAAGCGUGGGGAGCAAACAGGAUUAGAAACCUAGUAGUCC